Molecule: non-coding RNA, 3547 nt
Organism: Ictidomys tridecemlineatus (thirteen-lined ground squirrel)
Lineage: Eukaryota; Metazoa; Chordata; Mammalia; Rodentia; Sciuridae
Source: RefSeq, a predicted model, not a curated record
CGAGAAACACGGAUGCUGUUCUCUCGCGCCUAAUUCAGGUUUAUGACCCUUGGUGUUUCCGAGGCAGACUGCUUGCUUUUCUACUCACGAAUCCCUCCCCUUCUUCCUGGAUAGAAGACAGUCUUGGUCCGGAAGGUGGGGCUUUGAAGAGUCCAAGUGUGGGGUAAUUUAGGCAUCGUAUCCAUCUCCUAGCUUUCUAGGUUCUGAGGCGGAAGCCCAGAGUGAAUGGGACGCUCUGACGAGCGUGGGCCGCUGAGUGGCUGAGGAGGGGUGUAGAGAGCUCAUGGCUCUGACUUCGAGUCCCACCGCGGCUAGAGCUUGGCGACUCUUGGAAUCCCAAUGCAACCUGGAACUCCGGACGUAAUUUGGAAACGAUUGACACAUUUGAACACAGGACCUAGGAGUUAUUGGAGAGAAAUCUUGCCCUUGUGGAGCCCUACUGACCAUAAAAAAAAAAUGAGUACUGCUGAUGCACUUGAUGAUGAAAAUACAUUUAAAAUCUUAGUUGCAACUGAUAUUCACCUUGGAUUUAUGGAGAAAGAUGCAGUCAGAGGAAAUGAUACAUUUGUCACAUUUGAUGAAAUUUUAAGACUUGCCCAGGAAAAUGAAGUGGAUUUUAUUUUGUUAGGUGGUGAUCUUUUCCAUGAAAAUAAGCCCUCAAGAAAAACAUUACAUACAUGCCUUGAAUUAUUAAGAAAAUAUUGUAUGGGUGAUCGUCCUGUACAGUUUGAAAUCAUUAGUGAUCAAUCAGUCAACUUUGGUUUUAGUAAAUUUCCAUGGGUGAACUACCAAGAUGGCAAUCUCAACAUCUCAAUUCCAGUGUUUAGUAUUCAUGGAAAUCAUGAUGAUCCUACAGGGGCAGAUGCUCUUUGUGCCCUGGAUAUUUUAAGUUGUGCUGGAUUUAUAAAUCACUUUGGACGUUCAAUGUCUGUGGAGAAGUUGGACAUUAGUCCAGUUUUGCUUCAAAAAGGAACCACAAAAAUUGCUCUAUAUGGUUUAGGGUCCAUUCCAGAUGAAAGGCUUUAUCGAAUGUUUGUCAAUAAAAAAGUAACGAUGUUGAGACCAAAAGAAGAUGAGAACUCUUGGUUUAAUUUAUUUGUGAUUCAUCAAAACAGGAGUAAACAUGGAAGUACAAACUUCAUUCCAGAACAGUUUUUGGAUGACUUCAUUGAUCUUGUUAUUUGGGGCCAUGAACAUGAGUGUAAAAUAGCUCCGACCAAAAAUGAGCAGCAGCUCUUUUAUGUAUCACAACCUGGAAGCUCAGUGGUUACUUCUCUUUCCCCAGGAGAAGCUGUGAAGAAACACGUUGGUUUGCUUCGUGUUAAAGGGAGGAAGAUGAAUAUGCAGAAGAUCCCUCUUGGUACCGUGCGACAGUUUUUUAUGGAGGAUGUUGUUCUGGCUAAUCAUACAGAUAUUUUUAACCCAGAUAAUCCUAAAGUAACCCAAGCCAUACAAAACUUCUGUUUGGAGAAGAUUGAAGAAAUGCUUGAAAAUGCUGAACGGGAACGUCUGGGAAAUUCUCGACAGCCAGAGAAGCCUCUUAUACGACUUCGAGUGGACUAUAGUGGAGGUUUUGAACCUUUCAAUGUUCUUCGCUUUAGCCAGAAAUUUGUGGAUCGAGUAGCUAAUCCAAAAGAUGUUAUCCAUUUUUUCAGGCAUAGAGAACAAAAAGAAAAAACAGGAGAAGAGAUCAACUUUGGGAAGCUUAUCACAAAACCUUCAGAAGGAACAACUCUCAGGGUAGAAGACCUUGUCAAACAGUAUUUUCAGACUGCAGAGAAGAAUGUUCAACUCUCACUGCUAACAGAAAGAGGGAUGGGUGAGGCAGUACAAGAAUUUGUGGACAAGGAAGAGAAGGAUGCCAUUGAGGAAUUAGUGAAAUACCAGUUGGAAAAAACACAGCGAUUUCUUAAAGAACGUCAUAUCGAUGCCUUAGAAGAUAAAAUUGAUGAAGAGGUACGUCGUUUCCGAGAAAGCAGACAAAAAAAUACUGAAGAAGAAGAUGAUGAAGUUCGAGAGGCCAUGAAUAGGGCCCGAGCUCUCAGGUGUCAAUCAGAAGACCACACAUCUGCCUUUAGUGCUGAUGACCUCAUGAGUAUAGAUCUAGCAGAACAAAUGGCAAAUGACUCUGAUGAUAGCAUCUCAGCAGGACCCAACAAAGGAAGAGGCCGAGGCAGAGGUCGAAGAGGAGGCAGAGGGCAGAAUUCAGCAUCAAGAGGAGGGUCUCAAAGAGGCAGAGCAGGCAAUGCUCUAGAGACUUCUACUCGAAGCAGGAACUCAAAGGCCACCGUGUCAACAUCUAGAAAUAUGUCUAUUAUAGAUGCUUUUAAAACUGUGAGACAGCAGCCCUCCCGAAAUGUUGCUACUAAGAAUUACUCAGAGGAGAUUGAGGUGGAUGAAUCAGAUGAGGAUGACAUUUUUCCUACUACCUCAAAAACAGAUCAAAGGUGGUCGAGCACAUCAGCAAGCAAACACAUGUCCCAGAGCCAAAUAACUAAAGGGGUUGAUUUUGAAUCAGAUGAGUUGAAUUAAAGCUACAUGACUGAAGGAUACUGGACUUUCCCUUUCCUCCAUGGCUGCCAUUUGAAGGACGUUUACAAGUUUUUGUUCAAUUCCUUGAAGGAUGAAGAUGAUGAUCCUUUCAUGAACAUUGGUUCCUUAAGAAGAAACAGAAGAUAAUAUAUUCAAUGGAACUUAAAAAUUUUCAAGUUACAGAAAGAAUCAAAACAUUUCAAGCAAAGACUUCAUAGUUAAAGAUUUUAAAACUGUUUCUGUGAACUGAAAAUUUUGAAAAAGACUUACUUAACAGAUAAACUAAUAUGUAAGAAUUUAUAUUUUUAAGUAUCAUUUCCUGAACAUGACUCUAUUACUGAAGGUGUUUCUCAGCUGAUGGCUUUAAAAAUAACAUUGGUUCUCAUUUUUUAGUCUGAUUGUUAAAUUAUUUGGGAAUGCUUUGUAAAAUUUAAAAUGUAUUUUACUGACAUGUUAGUGUAUAUCUUACUGAAUAAGGGCUUUGCUUAAAGGUUGUUCUUGAAUAAGUAGUAAAAUAAAUCCACCAUUAUACAUUUCUGCUUCAUGAUCAAAGACUUUCAGUAUCUUAAUGUUAAAUUUAGCCAGAAUUGAAGGAAAGAGCUAUAAAAUUUAACCUCUUGUUUUAAAAAAUAAUUUUCUAGAGGCUUUGUAUUUCCCAGAAGUGAACAUUCUAUGUGAAACUGUGCCUCACAUCACUAUUUGUCAUUAAGUAUGGGUUUUCUUUUUUUUCCCCUAGUGCUUCAUAUGGUAGUAGCCCCAAAGAUUUGGAAUGAUUAGAAGUACGAAAAGUUUGAAUAAUUCUAUAUGGAUUUUUUUAUUUAAAAAAAAAAAGCCAAAACAGUCUGUUAGAAUUACUGAGUUUUUGUUCCAUUUGUAGCAAAAAUUUAAAACAUCAUGUUCCUAUGGAAUGGUAGCAAUUGUCUCUAUUAUUCUCUAUCAUUAAGGCUAUUCUCUUUCUUUCAUCUAUUUGUAGAAAGAAAAAUGUUAAAUAAAUUUUAUAUUUUACAAAUAUUAA